This 66-nucleotide transfer RNA is filed under the name Sciocoris lateralis. RNAcentral's name for it is "tRNA-Gly". It matches the Rfam family "tRNA". Rfam says of the family: Transfer RNA (tRNA) molecules are approximately 80 nucleotides in length. Their secondary structure includes four short double-helical elements and three loops (D, anti-codon, and T loops). Further hydrogen bonds mediate the characteristic L-shaped molecular structure. tRNAs have two regions of fundamental functional importance: the anti-codon, which is responsible for specific mRNA codon recognition, and the 3' end, to which the tRNAs corresponding amino acid is attached (by aminoacyl-tRNA synthetases). tRNAs cope with the degeneracy of the genetic code in two manners: having more than one tRNA (with a specific anti-codon) for a particular amino acid; and 'wobble' base-pairing, i.e. permitting non-standard base-pairing at the 3rd anti-codon position. The record is from RNAcentral. Lineage: Eukaryota; Metazoa; Arthropoda; Insecta; Hemiptera; Pentatomidae.
AUCUUUUUAGUAUAAUAAUAAAUAUAUUUGACUUCCAAUCAAAAGAUCUUAAAGUAAGAAAAGAUA